RNAcentral lists this ribosomal RNA (218 nucleotides) under Acinetobacter baumannii. RNAcentral's name for it is "partial 23S ribosomal RNA". It matches the Rfam family "Bacterial large subunit ribosomal RNA", at positions 1 to 219 of the family's 2925-position model. The record is from RNAcentral. Lineage: Bacteria; Pseudomonadati; Pseudomonadota; Gammaproteobacteria; Moraxellales; Moraxellaceae.
AGUCAAGUAAUUAAGUGCAUGUGGUGGAUGCCUUGGCAGUCAGAGGCGAUGAAAGACGUGAUAGCCUGCGAAAAGCUCCGGGGAGGCGGCAAAUAUCCUUUGAUCCGGAGAUGUCUGAAUGGGGGAACCCACCUACUUUAAGGUAGGUAUUGCAACAUGAAUACAUAGUGUUGCAAGGCGAACGAGGGGAAGUGAAACAUCUCAGUACCCUUAGGAAA